Molecule: ribosomal RNA, 253 nt
Filed under: uncultured bacterium
Lineage: Bacteria
Description: partial 16S ribosomal RNA
Rfam family: Bacterial small subunit ribosomal RNA
Source: RNAcentral
GACGGAGGAUGCAAGUGUUAUCCGGAAUCACUGGGCGUAAAGCGUCUGUAGGUGGUUCGAAAAGUCCACUGUUAAAAAUUGAGGCUUAACUUCAAAGAUGCCGUGGAAACUUUCAAACUAGAGUAUGGUAGGGGUAGAGGGAAUUUCCAGUGGAGCGGUGAAAUGCGUAGAUAUUGGAAAGACCACCGAUGGCGAAGGCACUCUACUGGGCCAUUACUGACACUGAGAGACGAAAGCUAGGGGAGCAGACGGG